AAGGUCACAUAGAGCUGGAAUUUAAAUUCAGAUCUAUUAUACUCUUAAAAACUAUGGAAGAAGCAAAAUCUGAUCCAGAGCCUGGGGAUGCUGGAGGAGCGUCAAGGCUGGGAAAGUAACAUGCACUGUGUUCGCAAUCAACAGAAAAGAUAUUUUUAAACAAAAACAAUUUUCCAAGUUUCCAGGAAAAGAAACAAAAGGCUUUUCUAAAAUGAAAGGAACUGUUCUUCUUGUUCUGUGACUUUUAUGUCACUUGGACAACAAGCCAGUGCUUAGAAACGGUUAUUUUCCUGUCGACAUCACUGCAUGGAUACUUCUUAGAAGGACAUAACAGCAUUAGCACUCAAUCCCAGGCUCUGCUCACCCUCCAAUGGCAGUCAUUUUCAAAAACAAUAAAGAUAUCUAUGCUUGGUC
Molecule: long non-coding RNA, 414 nt
Organism: Rhinopithecus roxellana (golden snub-nosed monkey)
Lineage: Eukaryota; Metazoa; Chordata; Mammalia; Primates; Cercopithecidae
Exons: 2
Source: RefSeq, a predicted model, not a curated record